Molecule: long non-coding RNA, 401 nt
Filed under: Cyanistes caeruleus (blue tit)
Lineage: Eukaryota; Metazoa; Chordata; Aves; Passeriformes; Paridae
Description: lncRNA (ENSCCEG00000014553.1)
Source: RNAcentral
GCUUCCUGCUGAAGAUAGGCAGAAUUCCGGUGUCAGCUGUGUCUGACCAGCCCCUGAGUGUGUCUUGCACACAACACUCAGCCUCCAUCCUGCUCCAGCAGGAAACAUCCCAAAAAUCUGAUCUCAAGCCUUGAACAUUAAGCAUAGCAAAAAUACAGCUCUUGAAGGCAACCUGGAUUAUUUACUGUACAGUGUGUGCUUGGCAACACCUGCAGUUACUCUCAAGGGCUCUGACUUGCAAGUGCACCUCAGUAGUAGCAUUGACAAGGGCCAUAUUUCAUUCUGUGUGUUUUCACUGAUUAACAGCUACAUUACAGCAGAGUGCAGACAGCAGACAUACCUAUAAUACAGAAUAUCCAAUAAUACAGAAUAUAACAAUAAUAUAGAACUAACAUACCUGC